AUGCAAGUCGAGCGAGAAAGUAUCUUCGGAUAUGAGUAGAGCGGCGGACGGGUGAGUAACGCGUAGGAAUCUACCUAGUAGAAGGGGAUAGCCCGGGGAAACUCGGAUUAAUACCGUAUACCUCCUAAGGGAGAAAGAGGGCCUCUCUUGAAGCUCUCGCUAUUAGAUGAGCCUGCGUAAGAUUAGCUUGUUGGUAAGGUAAUGGCUUACCAAGGCUACGAUCUUUAGCUGGUCUGAGAGGACGAUCAGCCACAUUGGGACUGAGACACGGCCCAGACUCCUACGGGAGGCAGCAGUGGGGAAUAUUGGACAAUGGGCGCAAGCCUGAUCCAGCCAUACCGCGUGUGUGAAGAAGGCCUUCGGGUUGUAAAGCACUUUAAGCAGGGAGAAAAAGCAAUAAGUUAAUACCUUAUUGCCGUGAUGUUACCUGCAGAAUAAGCACCGGCUAAUUCCGUGCCAGCAGCCGCGGUAAUACGGAAGGUGCAAGCGUUAAUCGGAAUUACUGGGCGUAAAGCGCGCGUAGGUGGUUUGUUAAGUUGGAUGUGAAAGCCCUGGGCUCAACCUAGGAACUGCAUCCAAAACUAACUCACUAGAGUACGAUAGAGGGAGGUAGAAUUCAUAGUGUAGCGGUGGAAUGCGUAGAUAUUAUGAAGAAUACCAGUGGCGAAGGCGGCCUCCUGGAUCUGUACUGACACUAAGGUGCGAAAGCGUGGGUAGCGAACAGGAUUAGAUACCCUGGUAGUCCACGCCGUAAACGAUGACAACUAGCUGUUGGGAGACGAUGUCUUUCAGUGGCGCAGCUAACGUUUUAAGUUGUCCGCCUGGGGAGUACGGCCGCAAGGCUAAAACUCAAAUGAAUUGACGGGGACCCGCACAAGCGGUGGAGCAUGUGGUUAAAUUCGAUGCAACGCGAAAAACCUUACCUACUCUUGACAUACUUGGAAGCUCUUGUAAUGAGAGUGUGCCUUUUGGAACCAAGAUACAGGUGCUGCAUGGCUG
RNAcentral lists this ribosomal RNA (999 nucleotides) under uncultured marine bacterium. Its description in RNAcentral is "bacterial SSU rRNA". It matches the Rfam family "Bacterial small subunit ribosomal RNA", at positions 55 to 1051 of the family's 1533-position model. The record is from RNAcentral.